This 910-nucleotide ribosomal RNA is filed under the name uncultured bacterium. RNAcentral's name for it is "bacterial SSU rRNA". It matches the Rfam family "Bacterial small subunit ribosomal RNA", at positions 9 to 916 of the family's 1533-position model. The record is from RNAcentral.
GAGUUUGAUCAUGGCUCAGGAUGAACGCUAGCGACAGGCUUAACACAUGCAAGUCGAGGGGCAGCGGGGGUAGCAAUACCCGCCGGCGACCGGCGCACGGGUGAGUAACGCGUAUGCAACUUACCUAUCAGAGGGGGAUAACCCGGCGAAAGUCGGACUAAUACCGCAUGAAGCAGGGGCCCCGCAUGGGGAUAUUUGCUAAAGAUUCAUCGCUGAUAGAUAGGCAUGCGUUCCAUUAGGCAGUUGGCGUGGUAACGGCCCACCAAACCGACGAUGGAUAGGGGUUCUGAGAGGAAGGUCCCCCACAUUGGUACUGAGACACGGACCAAACUCCUACGGGAGGCAGCAGUGAGGAAUAUUGGUCAAUGGGCGUAAGCCUGAACCAGCCAAGUCGCGUGAGGGAUGAAGGUUCUAUGGAUCGUAAACCUCUUUUAUAAGGGAAUAAAGUGCGGGACGUGUCCCGUUUUGUAUGUACCUUAUGAAUAAGGAUCGGCUAACUCCGUGCCAGCAGCCGCGGUAAUACGGAGGAUCCGAGCGUUAUCCGGAUUUAUUGGGUUUAAAGGGUGCGUAGGCGGCCUUUUAAGUCAGCGGUGAAAGUCUGUGGCUCAACCAUAGAAUUGCCGUUGAAACUGGGAGGCUUGAGUAUGUUUGAGGCAGGCGGAAUGCGUGGUGUAGCGGUGAAAUGCUUAGAUAUCACGCAGAACCCCGAUUGCGAAGGCAGCCUGCCAAGCCAUGACUGACGCUGAUGCACGAAAGCGUGGGGAUCAAACAGGAUUAGAUACCCUGGUAGUCCACGCAGUAAACGAUGAUCACUAGCUGUUUGCGAUACAGUGUAAGCGGCACAGCGAAAGCGUUAAGUGAUCCACCUGGGGAGUACGCCGGCAACGGUGAAACUCAAAGGAAUUGACGG